RNAcentral lists this long non-coding RNA (594 nucleotides) under Homo sapiens (human). RNAcentral describes it as "non-protein coding lnc-ZNF467-4:2". Lineage: Eukaryota; Metazoa; Chordata; Mammalia; Primates; Hominidae. The record is from RNAcentral.
CACAGACACUGUACACCAUACACCACACUGUACACACCACACACCACACCACACCAGACACCACACAUACAGCACACACACAAACACACCACACACACUGCACUAUAUACCACACACACUCCAAACCCCACACGCAUUACACAUCACACCACACACACACACACCAGAUAACAUACCACACACUACAUACCACAUGUACCACACACAACACACAUCCUACAUACCACACACAGCACAUACCACAUACCACAUCACAUACCACACAUUCCACAUACGACAUCAUACACACCACACACACUGCACAUAUUAUACCAACACAUCCCACAUACCAUAUCAUAUACACCACACACAAACCACACACACAAAUGCAAACACCACAUACACCAUACAUACCCACACACACAAACACUGUAUACCAUACACCACACUGUACACACCACACACACACACACCAUACACACACAAACACACACACACACAAACUUCUGUUGAGGCUGUGCCCCCACCACUUGGAGCCACUACAUCUCCCUACCUCAACUUCUUUCCACUUGGUAGUCCUGUCUUCUGAAGUUAGUAAAUGCAGGCGUGAGGCAG